Molecule: long non-coding RNA, 4178 nt
Organism: Alligator mississippiensis (American alligator)
Lineage: Eukaryota; Metazoa; Chordata; Crocodylia; Alligatoridae
Exons: 8
Source: RefSeq, a predicted model, not a curated record
UCUGAUUUCCAAUGUGCUUCUUGCUUGCAAUAAUGACAUUGGUUCCCAUAGCCUGGGUUUUGUGGGCCCGAGGAUCUGUCUCUUCCCCUGAAUCUACUGGGGCCUCUCCUUCCCCGUCCUCAUCCCCUUCCUCUACCUGGACCCUGCAAUUGAGAAAUCUGUAAGGCCAUUAACUUAAACUCAGCAUUGUCUUUGAACCGUUCCAAUUUGUUAUGAAAAUGGUUAGCUGCAGCAAGGACUUCAGUCAAAUCUUUAGUUUCCCAGCCAAUAAUUACUGUUUGAAUUUUCUCAGCAAUUUUAGGGUUAAGUCCCUGGACGAAUGCUGCCACUAUUGCUUGUUUAGCAUUUUCGACCCGGUCAUCCAUUCCUGAAUAUCGUUCAAAUGCCUGUUUGAGGAGUUCCAAAUAGUCACUGGGGUGUUCAUUUUUGUUUUGUUUACAGGUAUUUAUUUUGGUUCAGUCUGCCUUUUUUGGGCAAAUUGUGAGAACUGCCCGAACCAAAGCAUUUCUCUUGUCAAUAAAGUCUUGGCCAGUCCCUGGGUUUUGAUCUGGCCAAGUACUGGCAGCGUACAGACUCAGCAUAGUUUCCUUGGGCAAAAUGGAUCGCAUGAGCUGAUUAAUGUCAGCCCAUGUUGGAUUAUAACAAUUUAUAACAGUCUGCAAUUCUUCCUGAAAUUUUUCUGGGUCUUCCCUGAUUUGGGGGAAUUUUUGAGUUAAAUUGUAGAGAUCACCUGGAGUCCAGGGUGCAUGCACGGUUACUAUAUUUUGUCCAUUGGUGCCAAUGCCUGGCAUUUGUCUUAGGGGGAGAAUUUGUACAUCCCGUGAUCUAAGAUUAAUGGCAGAUCUUUGCAUGCCUAUUCCCAUUCUUCUAAAUACACCUGUGGUGGGUUGUGACCCAGGAGUAAAUUGCCACACUGGUGAUGAUUGAGUAGCAGGUAUGGUGGAUGAGUUCGGACUAUUAAACUCCGUAGAUGAGUUUACCAAAGGAGCUUCAGCUAAUGGGUUACUAGCCUGGGCUGCAGCCUGAUGUUGAACCGGUUGUUGCUGAUGUGGGAGUUUCAGGAGAGCAGGGUUCGAACAAAAGUUAAGGAUAUUCUUUGCUGGCUUUGGCAGUGGGGGCACCCCGGGCAAUGCUGGAUACAUUGGUGCGGUGGCCGGUGUGUAAUUUGGGGGAGCAGCCAAUUUUUCCCGAACAGCUUUUAACUGCUGUUUUAAUUUUUUUUGAGAGUCUUUUAGACUUUCAGUUUGAGAUUUUGUUCGCCUUUUGGACAUCUCAUCAUACUAAUAAAAGAACACGUCCCACUGGUUUUAUGGUGUUUUGGAUUCACGCCAGGUUUCAACCUUGGCCAGUUUGCUGCAGGGAUUGAUGUCCCUCACACAGCUUUAUCCCACUCAAAACCCCAGAAAGCAGAGGGAGAGAACAGAGGUCUCAAGCCCUGAGACAGAUUUUCUCUCGCUGUCCCUGAGGCUUGUCCUGCACAUUGUUUCAGUUUGCUUCAUCAGUGAAGAGCAGGGGUGCCCCCCCUGCCACCCCCCACCCAUGGGUAUUAGGCUUUCCUGGCUCCCAAAUCAGCAUUCAGACUUCAGCACCCCAGGAACAAGAAGAGAGAUCAGGCCAAGUGGCCGCAACUUUAAAUAACUUUUCUGACCUCAUCCAGGGCCCCAGCCAGAAAGCAGCUUCAUUGCACCACCGUUAAUGCCGAUCCAAGGCGGUCGGCCCUCCAGGACUUGGCCAGAGUCACUGAGCUGGGUUCUAAAUAGAGCGGGUCAGAGCAGGUGCAUAGGCACCCAGUGGGUGACACUCCCAAACAGCGAGGAGGCUUUUGUCGACAGGGUAAAGCUGUAGAGGUGGCUGGAAUUGUUUCUAAUGAAUCCCCUUGGUUUAAUGGCACAAUCUCACCUGAGUUGAUGGAGCAGAGAUGGAGCCAUUCCUGUGGGAGCAGGUUUUGGAAACUGCUUGACCAGUUACAACCCCCCUGAGGGAAACAGCCUGGGGAAGGUGUUGUGCCCACAGAGGCGUUCCCUAGGAAGGACUGACAUCUGGCUGUGCCCGCUCUUUACUGCUGGCUUACUCCUUCUCUCCUUACAGAGCAAACAGAACCGACUGUCUCUGGCUUUGCUUCAGUUUAUUAUGUGUGAUUUACUUGUGUUCUGUGUUUGACUGAUGCUGAGUUUUGCUGGAGCCACAAAACCCUUGGAAGACUGUCUGACUACCUGGGUUUCCUUUUUUCAGACUCUGGCAAAACAAGAGCCUGCUUCCAAAGAUGGCCAGGCCACUCCAUCAACUCCUUCCCAGGUAUCCCGGCCGCCCUUUCAGGCGACAGCUGCCUGCUGCUCUCACUUAGUCGGCAGAAUCUCUUUCUGCCCGUGGGGACUCCUUGUCUCCAGGCGUAAGGAGAAUCCAUAGUGUGGCGAGCUCCCUUUUUAAUUAUGCCCCUCCUCCUUUCAGGGUGCGAUGCACAGUCCCUUAUUUGUGGGCAUCAUCUGAUUUUUAGCCCCUACCUGGACUGUUCUCUUCCUUAGCAUUUCGACUGGUCUUCUGGGAAAGUUGCCUGGAAAGGAAGCUGAGCAGCAGGUGUCUGGGGAUGCGGAGACCUUGAACUAGAGGAGAUGCUACUUCCUCUGAGGGAAAUAAUCCCAUUUCUGUUCAGCUGUGAAGUGAAAUCUCACCCCUGUGACCAUGGCAAGUGUCUGAGGAUUUGGUUUUUCAGGCAGUAGCCAAGGCAAGCUAAGAAGGCAACGAAUGUUUUGCUUGAAUGAGGCAGACAAGGUUCCUUGAGUGAAUUUGAUAUCUUUUAUUAGACCAACCCAAAUAGUUGGAGAAUAGUUAUUAAGCAAGCUUUCAAGUUCAAAAACCCUUCGUCAGGCUAAGGAAGUUUCAGCAGUUGGUGUGUACUUGAAGCAUUUCAUUUGAAUUUGGGGAGAUGCAUUUCAAAACAAAUACAUUCAGGUAAAGACUGAAGCAGAAAUAUAGUUUGCAGGUAUAGUGUGAACCAUCUCACUUCAAAAAUACCAAAGGGAGGCUUUACUUCUGUUUUUUCCUUUUCCCCAGUUUCUUAGGCCAUGCAAGUGGAGGAUUUCGAAAUGCCAUCGCAAACUGCUUUGCUUAGCCCUAAUAGGCACUGUUUGGCAACAAAGCUUAGUGCCAAGAAAUCGGUCAUGCCAUCCUGCCUGUAACAGCCUUGAUUUCACAUGCACGUGACAAUUAGCUCCAUCUCCAUGUGAAAGCAUUGACUUGCAACUCUAGUAGUCUGAAAUACAGACCCCUGCGCUGCCUUCUGCCCGAGUCCAGUCUCACACAGCUAACCCCCUCUCUCCACUCAGGGCCUGCCAAUGGCACAGGAGACGAGCUCGGAGAGCAAUUUGUUUGCUACCUUGUGGGCGUUUUGGAUCAGCCCUGAGAGGGAGCCUGGCUGAGUCCCCCAAAACAUCUGCUGAGGUGAGUGGGACGCAGCCCUGUGGCAAGGAUUGCAGGGUCUAAACAGAAAUGCUUUGUUUGUGAAGUUACAAAAUGCAGCAAUUGAGCACCCUGCAGGCUAAGUACCCCCACUUCAGGCUGGAAAGGUGCCAUGAAUACAUCCCACGGCAUCCAGCUAGCAGAUACUUAAGAUGCUUCUGGGGGCUGUACCAUGGCAGUACCCAAGCCCUCCCAGGAAAAGGAUUUUGGACAGACGACCUCCUGGUGCCCUCCCGAGGGCAUGAACCAAGGAUGAUGCCAUGUCUGGGAAGAAGCCAGGGCAGGCAGAGACAGGAAAAACUUGGAGUCCUGGUCAGCUUCGACCCACUGGGAAGGGGAGGAUCCAGCAUGUCUUGGAGUCAUUGCAAAAGAUUCCAGGCAAGAACUGUGCAGCUUGGUGCAGCAUCCGAAAUCUGCUUUCUAUGCCACUAAAGAUGAUUCUACGGCUGUACUAUGGCAGUUCCCACGCCUCUCUGGGAACACGGACUGUGACCCGCGACCCCCAGCUCUCUCCUGGACCUGGUCUGCAGGACAUCAAGCAUGAAGGAGUGGAUGUGGGGGCUGUAUGAUGUAGGGCAGAAAAUCAGCACCAGAAAGCUACUCCCUCUGUUCUACCCCUUCCCUCUCCAGCCCUCACCACCCUCCCUGCCUCUCCUUUCCCCCUAUAUAUUAUGUUAGGUUAGGCUAGGUUAAGUUAUAUUAUAUUGUUUUAUUUCCUAUUA